This 253-nucleotide ribosomal RNA is filed under the name uncultured bacterium. RNAcentral describes it as "partial 16S ribosomal RNA". It matches the Rfam family "Bacterial small subunit ribosomal RNA", at positions 524 to 776 of the family's 1533-position model. The record is from RNAcentral.
UACAGAGGGGGCAAGCGUUAUUCGGAAUUACUGGGCGUAAAGCGCGCGCAGGCGGUCCUUCAAGUCAGAGGUGAAAGCCCAGAGCUCAACUCUGGAAUGGCCUUUGAGACUAGAGGACUUGGGUACGGGAGAGGUGAGUGGAAUUCCGAGUGUAGAGGUGAAAUUCGUAGAUAUUCGGAAGAACACCAGUGGCGAAGGCGGCUCACUGGCCCGUUACCGACGCUCAGGCGCGACAGCGUGGGGAGCAAACAGG